UGAGCAGUCUGCCCUUCACAUCGGAAUAACCAUUGGAAACGAUGGCUAAUACCGAAUAUGACCUCGGAUCGCAUGAUCUGAAGUGGAAAGCUCCGGCGGAGAAGGAUGAGCUCC
Molecule: ribosomal RNA, 114 nt
Filed under: uncultured bacterium
Lineage: Bacteria
Description: partial 16S ribosomal RNA
Rfam family: Bacterial small subunit ribosomal RNA
Source: RNAcentral